CCUUUACAUGCACGCAAGUGUGAUAAGGUUACCCGGAUGCUAGGAGCAAGCUUCUAGCUGUUAUAGGUGUGUAAAUAACCCUAUGAGAAAGGAGAGGGCAAGGCUGGUGCCAGCCGCCGCGGUAAAACCAGCUCUUCAAGUGGUCGGAAACAUUAUUGGGCUUAAAGUGUCCGUAGCCGGUUUGAUAAGUUCCUGGUUAAAUCUGGCAGCUUAACUGUCAGUCUCCUAGGAAUACUAUCUUACUAGAGGGCGGGAAAGGUCUGAGGUACUCCAGGGGUAGCGGUGAAAUGCGAUAAUCCUUGGGGGACCACCAGUGGCGAAGGCGUCAGACUGGAACGCGCCUGACGGUGAGGGACGAAAGCCAGGGGAGCGAACGGGAUUAGAUACCCCGGUAGUCCUGGCCGUAAACGAUGCGUGUUAGGUGUUGGUAGGGCUCUGAGCCGUAUCAGUGCCGUAGGGAAACUGUUAAACGCGCCGCCUGGGAAGUACGCUCGCAAGGGUGAAACUUAAAGGAAUUGGCGGGGGAGCACCACAAGGGGUGAAGCCUGCGGUUCAAUUGGAUUCAACGCCGGGAAGGGC
This 579-nucleotide ribosomal RNA is filed under the name uncultured archaeon. Its description in RNAcentral is "bacterial SSU rRNA". It matches the Rfam family "Archaeal small subunit ribosomal RNA", at positions 347 to 928 of the family's 1478-position model. The record is from RNAcentral.